UACGUAGGUGGCAAGCGUUGUCCGGAAUUAUUGGGCGUAAAGAGCUCGUAGGCGGUGUGUCGCGUCGGCCGUGAAAACCUGCAGCUUAACUGUGGGCUUGCGGUCGAUACGGGCAUCACUGGAGUUCGGCAGGGGAGACUGGAAUUCCUGGUGUAGCGGUGAAAUGCGCAUAUAUCAGGAGGAACACCGGUGGCGAAGGCGGGUCUCUGGGCCGAUACUGACGCUGAGGAGCGAAAGCGUGGGGAGCGAACAGG
Molecule: ribosomal RNA, 254 nt
Filed under: uncultured bacterium
Lineage: Bacteria
Description: partial 16S ribosomal RNA
Rfam family: Bacterial small subunit ribosomal RNA
Source: RNAcentral